AUCUAACCUGAUAGUGGACAAAAUCAAUGCCCAGGGAGACAAGCAGUCUGAGCUUCCGCAAGGCGCAAAAAUUGAAAAGCAACAUGGACUGCGAUAGGACAAUGAAGAUCGUUCCUCCCAGGAAGAAAUCCUCAGUCUCCCGCUCUAUAAAUACCCCAGCACUUCCUCUUCGCUCUCUCUCUGCCUUCCUGCCUCCUGCUCGCCUCCCUACAAUAAAGAUCUCCUGCUGGACCUCUUGGUGCUUGAGUGGCCUAAUUGGGAAGGGGCACCCGAAGGGGCACGCGACCCCUCUUUCAGGACAGUUGCCAUAUUUUUAGUCCAUGCCUUUUUAAUUAUAAUUUUAUAGCGCAUGCAGUUGUGUAAGAGUCUAACUGAACUAGAGAGACUCCAUGUUGACCAGCAAACGACCUAGAGACUGUUGCUCCCCCCAUCCCUUAUAGGAUAACUAAUGAUUAAUUAUGAAUUGUUAGGUAACUGCUUAGAAGUAGCUGGGAAACUAGUGAACAUAGAGACCCAACAUCAGUCACGCCACUCCUUACUUGCCUGUAGUUGAAUGUUCUGAACAUCACAAACUAAGUUGUAAAUGGAACAAUGGAUAAUCAAUCUGCUGAUCAUUAGUACAUAAUGGUCGAGUAUAUGACUGAUGACCAUCAGUUCAGAUCAACUCAUUCUUUGCCUUUGUCCCCUUCCUGUAAGUUUUGAGUGUAAACCCCCCUCCAUAGCCCUAUAUAAAAUAGCCUCUGUUUCUGAGCUAGCUGCCUCUCUGAGCUGCUUGGCUCUGGGAGUGCCGUCUGGCCAGACUAAUAAAGGUCUAUUUGCCAAUCUGCCUGGUGUGUUCCUGGGUGACUUGCUGUCCGACAAGCUCCUGGAGCCUCGCUGAGCUUUUGGGCCCAACAUCGUGAAGGCCUCUUGGCUGCCAUGCUCCAAGAGUAAAAGUGAGACUUUAAGUCUUACAGUUGCUUUAUUUAGAAUUUUAAGAAUGAAAACAUAGAUUAUCUGGAUCAGAACUCUCCUACAAAGAUUUUACUUCCUACAAGGUAAUGUGCCCAUGCUCAGGCCCCCAAAUAGGAGGAGAGCAAGGUUAGACUAAAGACAGCAAAGGCUCACAGAAAAAGCUUGCAGGCUCUAACCACUAACCUUAAAAGGUAC
RNAcentral lists this long non-coding RNA (1149 nucleotides) under Fukomys damarensis (Damara mole-rat). RNAcentral's name for it is "lncRNA (ENSFDAG00000028140.1)". The record is from RNAcentral. Lineage: Eukaryota; Metazoa; Chordata; Mammalia; Rodentia; Bathyergidae.